RNAcentral lists this ribosomal RNA (335 nucleotides) under uncultured cyanobacterium. RNAcentral's name for it is "bacterial SSU rRNA". It matches the Rfam family "Bacterial small subunit ribosomal RNA", at positions 417 to 766 of the family's 1533-position model. The record is from RNAcentral. Lineage: Bacteria; Bacillati; Cyanobacteriota.
CUUGGGUUGUAAACCCCUUUUCUCAGGGAAGAAAAAAAUGACGGUACCUGAGGAAUAAGCAUCGGCUAACUCCGUGCCAGCAGCCGCGGUAAUACGGAGGAUGCAAGCGUUAUCCGGAAUGAUUGGGCGUAAAGCGUCUGUAGGUGGUUUGGCAAGUCUGCCGUUAAAGGUCGGGGCUCAACUCCGAAAAGGCGGUGGAAACUGCCAGACUAGAGUGUGGUAGGGGUAGAGGGAAUUCCCGGUGUAGCGGUGAAAUGCGUAGAUAUCGGGAAGAACACCGGUGGCGAAGGCGCUCUACUGGGCCACAACUGACACUGAGGGACGAAAGCUAGGGG